GUGCUCGCUUUGGCAACACAUAUGCUAAAAUUGGAAUGAAACCCGGAAGACAGCAUGACCCCUACACAAGGAUGACAUGCAAGUUCGUGAAGCAGUCCAUGUUUUU
This is a small nuclear RNA of Sorex araneus (European shrew), 106 nucleotides long. The record is from Ensembl. NCBI's taxonomy places the organism in Eukaryota, Metazoa, Chordata, Mammalia, Eulipotyphla, Soricidae.